GCAAGCACUUAAUUCUGCUAUUGAUUCUUUGACUUGCAAGGAGGUCUUCAAUUACAAGUCAUGGAGAUUCUUUGGGCUUUGGGGCAUGCACUUGUUACAAAGUGGCCACAUGAGCCUGAAUUUCCAGGCAUUUCUGCUCUCUAGGGUUGGGUCAAUUCAUCCUUCCACUCUAACUUAGACGGGGAAUCUUCUAGCAUUGGUGAUAUGGGACGCCUUAGAAGCAUCUUUCCAAGGCAGUAACUGGAAUCUAGUGAAGUAUGUCUUCAGGUACUUGGGAUCUCGUUUGCCCCCGGGUUCUCUGGGCUCUGAGAAGCUUGGGGUAUUCAGGCAAGCAAACUGGGAUCUGAUCUUGGCCUGCCAUAUGGGGGAAUAAACUGUGGUGGAGUCACAGGACUGUGCAUGCCAGCAAUGUCCCCAAUGAUUCCACCACAAUCUCCAUGCAUUGAGUUGAAAGGAGAUUUUACAUCUUUCCGCAGGGCCUGCAAGACGGAGCUGUUCCACCAGGCCUUUGGUCCGGGCUCAGUCUGACCCCCUUCUUUCCAUGAAACCCUGUAUGUAAGUGGCCCUCUUGGCCCUUUCUAUUAGCCCAUAUGGGACCAGCACGGGUGACCGGAUCUGGCAAAUAUUUAAUAUUCCUACCUUCAUGGCUGUAAUUUGUGGGUUGGCCACUUAAUUUUAUUCUGAUUUUACUGUGAUUUUGAGCUGUAUUUUAAUCAAUUGUUUGAUUUUGUGUUUUUAAUGUAUUAUAUAUUUGGUGUUAGCCGCCCUGAGCCUGGCCUUGGCUGGGGAGCGCAGGGUAUAAAUAAAAUUCAUUAGUAGUAGUAGUAGUAGUAGUAGUAUUCAUACAAUCCUCUGAAGAGAACCCUGUGCAGACAGUGCUCUUUGCUGCUCUUAGUGUGUUCACCCAAAUGCUUGAAGAAUCUCCCUUCAGAAUUUCCUGUUCAACAUGGAAUGGCCAAGGUAGAAUCAGCAGGAAUGGGGAUGUUGACAAUGUGCCUCAGGUACAUAGUUUCAUGCCCCUUCCACACCUUAUUCCCUCACACAUACUUUGAGGGUCAUGACCCUGGCGCAUUCAUCAGUUAAUUACUUGAACUGCUUGUAACAAGAUGGAGAUGAUGACGGCAGAAUAAUAAUAAUAAUAAUAAUAAUAAUAAUAAUAAUAAUAAUAAUUUAUUAUUUAUACCCCAACCAUCUGGCUGGGUUACCCCAGCCACUCUGGGCGGCUUCCAACAAAAUAUUAAAAUACAGUAGUCCAUCAAACAUUAAAAGCUUCCCUAAACAGGGCUGCCUUCAGAUGUCUUCUAAAAGUCUGGUAGUUGUUGUUCUCUUUGACAUCUGGUGAGAGGGCAUUCCACAGGGUGGGUGCCACUACCGAGAAGGCCCUCUGCCUGGUUCCCUGUAACUUGGCUUCUCGCAGUGAGGGAGCUGCCAGAAGGCCCUCGGCGCUGGACCUCAGUGUCCGGGUAGAACAAUGGAGGUGGAGACGCUCCUUCAGGUAUACUGGACCAAGGCCGUUUAGGGCUUUAAUGGUCAGCACCAACACUUUGAAUUAAUUAAGCAAACCCUCCAGCUUUUAGUUAAGAUUUAUUGUUUUAAAUGAUUUUUUUAUUUUUUACAGCUUGGACUGAUUGCAGCGGUGCCUCUUCCCACC
RNAcentral lists this long non-coding RNA (1651 nucleotides) under Podarcis lilfordi (Lilford's wall lizard). Lineage: Eukaryota; Metazoa; Chordata; Lepidosauria; Squamata; Lacertidae. The record is from RNAcentral.